This 468-nucleotide ribosomal RNA is filed under the name uncultured bacterium. Its description in RNAcentral is "partial 16S ribosomal RNA". It matches the Rfam family "Bacterial small subunit ribosomal RNA", at positions 28 to 507 of the family's 1533-position model. The record is from RNAcentral.
GACGAACGCUGGCGGCGUGCUUAACACAUGCAAGUCGAACGGAAAGGCCCUGCUUUUGUGGGGUGCUCGAGUGGCGAACGGGUGAGUAACACGUUAGUAACCUGCCCUUGACUUUGGGAUAACUUCAGGAAACUGGGGCUAAUACCGGAUAGGAGCUCCUGCUGCAUGGUGGGGUUUGGAAAGUUUCGGCGGUUGGGGAUGGACUCGCGGCUUAUCAGCUUGUUGGUGGGGUAGUGGCUUACCAAGGCUUUGACGGGUAGCCGGCCUGAGAGGGUGACCGGCCACAUUGGGACUGAGAUACGGCCCAGACUCCUACGGGAGGCAGCGGUGGGGAAUAUUGCACAAUGGGCGGAAGCCUGAUGCAGCAACGCCGCGUGCGGGAUGACGGCCUUCGGGUUGUAAACCGCUUUCGCCUGUGACGAAGCGUGAGUGACGGUAAUGGGUAAAGAAGCACCGGCUAACUACGUG